Molecule: ribosomal RNA, 548 nt
Filed under: uncultured Glomeromycotina
Lineage: Eukaryota; Fungi; Glomeromycota
Description: SSU rRNA
Rfam family: Eukaryotic small subunit ribosomal RNA
Source: RNAcentral
UUGGAGGGCAAGUCUGGUGCCCGCAGCCGCGGUAAUUCCAGCUCCAAUAGCGUAUAUUAAAGUUGUUGCAGUUAAAAAGCUCGUAGUUAAAUUUCGAGACCGGUUUACUGGUCGUGCUUUUGUACGUACUGGUAUUAUUGGUUUCUCCUUUCUGACGAAUCAUAAUGCCAUUAAUUUGGUGUUUUGGGGAAUCAGGACUGUUACUUUGAAAAAAUUAGAGUGUUUAAAGCAGGCUCACGCUUGAAUACAUUAGCAUGGAAUAACGAAAUAGGACGUUUGAUUUUAUUUUGUUGGUUUCUAGGAUCGACGUAAUGAUUAAUAGGGAUAGUUGGGGGCAUUAGUAUUCAAUUGUCAGAGGUGAAAUUCUUGGAUUUAUUGAAGACUAACUACUGCGAAAGCAUUUGCCAAGGAUGUUUUCAUUAAUCAAGAACGAAAGUUAGGGGAUCGAAGACGACCAGAUACCGUCGUAGUCUUAACCAUAAACUAUGCCGACUAGGGAUCGGAUGAUGUUAAUUUUUUAAUGACUCAUUCGGCGCCUUACGGGAAAC